AUUGAACGCUGGCGGCAUGCCUUACACAUGCAAGUCGAACGGCAGCGCGGACUUCGGCCUGGCGGCGAGUGGCGAACGGGUGAGUAAUACAUCGGAACGUACCCUGUUGUGGGGGAUAACUAGUCGAAAGAUUAGCUAAUACCGCAUACGACCUGAGGGUGAAAGUGGGGGACCGCAAGGCCUCACGCAGCAGGAGCGGCCGAUGUCUGAUUAGCUAGUUGGUGGGGUAAAGGCCCACCAAGGCGACGAUCAGUAGCUGGUCUGAGAGGACGAUCAGCCACACUGGGACUGAGACACGGCCCAGACUCCUACGGGAGGCAGCAGUGGGGAAUUUUGGACAAUGGGGGCAACCCUGAUCCAGCAAUGCCGCGUGUGUGAAGAAGGCCUUCGGGUUGUAAAGCACUUUUGUCCGGAAAGAAAUCGCGCUGGUUAAUACCUGGCGUGGAUGACGGUACCGGAAGAAUAAGCACCGGCUAACUACGUG
RNAcentral lists this ribosomal RNA (484 nucleotides) under uncultured bacterium. RNAcentral describes it as "partial 16S ribosomal RNA". It matches the Rfam family "Bacterial small subunit ribosomal RNA", at positions 30 to 507 of the family's 1533-position model. The record is from RNAcentral.